This is a non-coding RNA of Erinaceus europaeus (western European hedgehog), 87 nucleotides long. Lineage: Eukaryota; Metazoa; Chordata; Mammalia; Eulipotyphla; Erinaceidae. The record is from Rfam.
AAAAGGAACAAAAUGGAUCUUGGGGAAGACUGCUGGACAUGUAAGGGAACCCCCUGUAAAUAUCUGUCACCUUAAACCCCCUAAAAU